This 267-nucleotide ribosomal RNA is filed under the name uncultured bacterium. RNAcentral describes it as "partial 16S ribosomal RNA". It matches the Rfam family "Bacterial small subunit ribosomal RNA", at positions 793 to 1055 of the family's 1533-position model. The record is from RNAcentral.
GUCCACGCCCUAACGAUGGGCACUAAGUGUCGGAGGUAUUGAGCCCUCCGGUGCCGCAGCUAACGCAUUAAGUGCCCCGCCUGGGGAGUACGGCCGCAAGGUUGAAACUCAAAGGAAUUGACGGGGCCCGCACAAGCGGUGGAGCAUGUGGUUCAAUUCGACGCAACGCGAAGAACCUUACCUGGGCUUGACAUGCUGGUAGUAGAAACCCGAAAGGGCGACGAGCCCCGCAAGGGGAAGCCAGCACAGGUGCUGCAUGGCUGUCGU